UUUUAUGUAUUCUCUGGUUUUGUAAAACUUGGUAAAACUUGGUUUUGUAAUGGUACAACUAUGUAUGUCUCUGAUUUCGUGUUUUUAUGUAUUCUCUGGUUUUGUAAAACUUGGUAAAACUUGGUUUUGUAAUGGUACAACUAUGUAUGUCUCUGAUUUCGUGUUUUUAUGUAUUCUCUGGUUUUGUAAAACUUGGUAAAACUUGGUUUCGUAAUGGUACAACUAUGUAUGUCUUUGAUUUUGUAAAACUUGGGUAAACUUGGCUUGGUAUAACUACGAAGAAAUUAACAAAUCUUCAUAAAUUCAAAAAUUAUAUCACAAUGCUUGUUGUAAUGAAAUAGACAACUUAGUGUUACAUAAUCAAAUUAGUGGUUUGUAAUCAAAAUUUGGUAAAUAAAAUUUUCAAAAAUCUUACACAUUUGAACUUUCUACAUGAAAGUUCUUAUACUUUUAAGAUGUCUUUCUUUUGAAUAUCCAUGGUGAAUGUCGAAAGUCUGAAAAAUAAACAUUUUACACAUAUUAUUGAAUGAAUAUGUUUGGAAUUUACCACAUAUACAUAAAAUCAUGUGUACAACUAAUAAAAAUUAAUAUUAAUCCAAGAAUAACUAAUUAUACAGAAAAACCCCAAAAGUCCAACUGUGUGUAAGCGAGUACAACUUGUAAACUUUGAAAAACUGUGUAUAUUUGACGGCGCCAUGUGUACAAAUGACGGCGCCACGUGUACAAAUGACGGCGCCAUGUGGUUCACGUGUUAUUUGCCCCAAAUAUCCAAAAUUUUCUCUUUUCCCUCCAAAAUACCCAAAAUUUUCGAAUGAACCCAAUUUCUUUUAUUUUUCCCCUAAAAUCAUUUCAACCCUUUUAUUUAUUACCCCAGCUCCCACGAAAUCCUUAAAAUCCUCCCAAUUACAUCUCAAUAUCUCCAAUUUAUUAUCCAAACCCACCAAAUCCCUAAAUCUUCUUUAACCCCAAACCCACUAAAUCCCUAAAUCUUCUAUAGAAGAAAGAUGAGCCAUGUCUCUUCCGCUCCGAGCUCGAGUGAAACCUCCUCAAACCGAACCAGAGUAAGAGUUGCUGGGAUUCCAAAGAGGUGUAGGUGUGGCGACGAGAUCGUUGAAAAGAUCUCUAAAUCAGUCCCAAAUCCUUACCGCCGCUACUACCGAUGCAAAUAUGCCUUAUGAACGACACCCAUGUCUUCAAGUGGGUGGACGAGACAUUGGUAAAUGAGGUAGAACAGUUGGAUUUUCAAGUUAGUGUUCUUGAAGAAGAAGUUGCACUGCUAAAGAUGGGGAGAAAGAAAGAGACGAAGGAAAUUACUAAGAUGAUGGUACCCUUUAUCGUUGGUUGUUUUCUCACAAUUGUUCUUGUAACUUGGUACAACUAAGGUACUACUUUGUAGUUCUACUUGUCUCAAAAAUAUGUAUUUGGUGACUUCUAGUAUUUGUAUGACUAAACAUAUUUAUCCUAGUAAUUCCUAUCUAUUC
This is a long non-coding RNA of Arabidopsis lyrata subsp. lyrata, 1481 nucleotides long. RefSeq lists it as uncharacterized. The record is from RefSeq and is a predicted model, not a curated record. The transcript has 2 exons. NCBI's taxonomy places the organism in Eukaryota, Viridiplantae, Streptophyta, Magnoliopsida, Brassicales, Brassicaceae.